This 685-nucleotide ribosomal RNA is filed under the name Klebsiella pneumoniae. RNAcentral's name for it is "bacterial SSU rRNA". It matches the Rfam family "Bacterial small subunit ribosomal RNA", at positions 847 to 1532 of the family's 1533-position model. Lineage: Bacteria; Pseudomonadati; Pseudomonadota; Gammaproteobacteria; Enterobacterales; Enterobacteriaceae. The record is from RNAcentral.
CGGAGCUAACGCGUUAAAUCGACCGCCUGGGGAGUACGGCCGCAAGGUUAAAACUCAAAUGAAUUGACGGGGGCCCGCACAAGCGGUGGAGCAUGUGGUUUAAUUCGAUGCAACGCGAAGAACCUUACCUGGUCUUGACAUCCACAGAACUUAGCAGAGAUGCUUUGGUGCCUUCGGGAACUGUGAGACAGGUGCUGCAUGGCUGUCGUCAGCUCGUGUUGUGAAAUGUUGGGUUAAGUCCCGCAACGAGCGCAACCCUUAUCCUUUGUUGCCAGCGGUCCGGCCGGGAACUCAAAGGAGACUGCCAGUGAUAAACUGGAGGAAGGUGGGGAUGACGUCAAGUCAUCAUGGCCCUUACGACCAGGGCUACACACGUGCUACAAUGGCAUAUACAAAGAGAAGCGACCUCGCGAGAGCAAGCGGACCUCAUAAAGUAUGUCGUAGUCCGGAUUGGAGUCUGCAACUCGACUCCAUGAAGUCGGAAUCGCUAGUAAUCGUAGAUCAGAAUGCUACGGUGAAUACGUUCCCGGGCCUUGUACACACCGCCCGUCACACCAUGGGAGUGGGUUGCAAAAGAAGUAGGUAGCUUAACCUUCGGGAGGGCGCUUACCACUUUGUGAUUCAUGACUGGGGUGAAGUCGUAACAAGGUAACCGUAGGGGAACCUGCGGUUGGAUCACCUCCUU